UCAUGCAUUGAUUCGGGAUAC
This 21-nucleotide non-coding RNA is filed under the name Arabidopsis thaliana (thale cress). Lineage: Eukaryota; Viridiplantae; Streptophyta; Magnoliopsida; Brassicales; Brassicaceae. The record is from RNAcentral.